UUUUGGUUGACUUCAUUCUCUUCUUUCCUCAAGGCUAUAAGUGAUGUGAUGUAGCAGAAAGGAAUGAUCUGUGGAUGACUAUAUGGCUUGCAAGAGACUGAGUCUGAAAUAUGUAUUGGUCCGUUGAUAUUAAACUUGACAAUAGUCAAUAGAUUGUCACACCAUGAGAGUAUGCAAAGGUCCUCCAUUCUGAUGAGAAAUUUGACAUUGCAAGAGCCAAC
Lolium rigidum is the source of this 221-nucleotide long non-coding RNA. RefSeq lists it as uncharacterized. The transcript is spliced from 4 exons. The record is from RefSeq and is a predicted model, not a curated record. Lineage: Eukaryota; Viridiplantae; Streptophyta; Magnoliopsida; Poales; Poaceae.